CGUUGUUGGAGUCCGUCAACAUGACGGUCAUAUGCUUUUUAGCGAGUUGCGACUAGGAACUGGAGAUUCACUGAGAGAGAAGGAGGUGGUGGAAGAAAGCAGAGCACAGAACAAAAGGAGCCGGGAAAUCAACCAAUUUUGAUUUUCAAUAAUAGCUCAUUCUAUGAUAAGGGCUUAACAGCUAGGAGAUGUUGGUCUCAUGGGUUUCAACUCACAGCUUUUCAAAAGCAAUUUUGAAAAAUGUUGCUGCCCAGGAUCGAACUGGGGACCUUUAGCGAGUUGCGACUAGGAACUGGAGAUUCAAUGAGAGAGAUGGAGGUGGUGGAAGAAAGCGGAGCACAGAACAAAAGGAGCGGGAAAUCAACCAAUUCUGAUUUUCAAAAUGUUGGUCUCAUGGGUUUCAACUCACAGCUUUUCAAAAGCAAUUUUUAAAAAUGUUGCUG
This 443-nucleotide long non-coding RNA is filed under the name Manihot esculenta (cassava). RNAcentral describes it as "long non-coding RNA (MESC_LNC008203)". The record is from RNAcentral. Lineage: Eukaryota; Viridiplantae; Streptophyta; Magnoliopsida; Malpighiales; Euphorbiaceae.